This 253-nucleotide ribosomal RNA is filed under the name uncultured bacterium. RNAcentral describes it as "partial 16S ribosomal RNA". It matches the Rfam family "Bacterial small subunit ribosomal RNA", at positions 524 to 776 of the family's 1533-position model. The record is from RNAcentral.
UACAGAGGGUGCUAGCGUUGUUCGGAAUCAUUGGGCGUAAAGCGCACGUAGGCGGUCUCGUAAGUCGAAUGUGAAAUCCCUGGGCUUAACUCAGGAAGUGCAUCCGAAACUGCAAGACUAGAGUCCCGGAGAGGGUGGUGGAAUUCCUGGUGUAGAGGUGAAAUUCGUAGAUAUCAGGAGGAACACCCGUGGCGAAGGCGGCCACCUGGACGGAGACUGACGCUGAGGUGCGAAAGCGUGGGUAGCAAACAGG